Molecule: transfer RNA, 71 nt
Filed under: Loxodonta africana (African savanna elephant)
Lineage: Eukaryota; Metazoa; Chordata; Mammalia; Proboscidea; Elephantidae
Rfam family: tRNA
About the family: Transfer RNA (tRNA) molecules are approximately 80 nucleotides in length. Their secondary structure includes four short double-helical elements and three loops (D, anti-codon, and T loops). Further hydrogen bonds mediate the characteristic L-shaped molecular structure. tRNAs have two regions of fundamental functional importance: the anti-codon, which is responsible for specific mRNA codon recognition, and the 3' end, to which the tRNAs corresponding amino acid is attached (by aminoacyl-tRNA synthetases). tRNAs cope with the degeneracy of the genetic code in two manners: having more than one tRNA (with a specific anti-codon) for a particular amino acid; and 'wobble' base-pairing, i.e. permitting non-standard base-pairing at the 3rd anti-codon position.
Source: Rfam by way of RNAcentral
GCAGUGGCAGUUCAGUGGUAAAAUUCUGGCCUUCCAUACAGGAGACCUGGGUUCAAUUCCUGGCCAAUGCA